Long non-coding RNA from Choloepus didactylus (southern two-toed sloth), 487 nucleotides. RefSeq lists it as uncharacterized. The transcript has 4 exons. Lineage: Eukaryota; Metazoa; Chordata; Mammalia; Pilosa; Megalonychidae. The record is from RefSeq and is a predicted model, not a curated record.
CCCCGGGGCUACCUGAUGCGGGAGAUAUGAGGCUGAACGGUGAAGAGGCGCAUCUGUGGAGAACCUGCUCCGGCCCUGCAAUGUCCUUCUCCCGGCUCAGCGUCCCCUCCAGCCGCCGGUCCGCGGGCUCUCCUCAGCAUUCUGAAUUUUCCGGCGUGGUGAGACUCUGGAGAAGAGAUUUGUUGGGGAAUUUGCUGAGUCGGCACACUCCUCCUUUCCUCUAGCUGCUGGAAGACUGAACAUUGUGGUGAGAGAGCAUCUUGGAAACUGCACUCUGACUUGGGUGGAAACAGGCUACUGAGACCAUAGGAGACCCAAGAAACAAAGGUUUGGAAGAUUUGAGGCAGGUCUGAGCUGGACCAGAGUGGGCAAAAGAUGUCUUCAGGUACGUGAAUAUACACUGCUUCAUUCCCAAGAUUUGCAUGAUCAGAUGUAGAUUUCUCAGCUGAAAGUGAUGUGCAGAAUCUGCUAUAGUCAACACCAAAAG